RNAcentral lists this long non-coding RNA (1313 nucleotides) under Numida meleagris (helmeted guineafowl). Its description in RNAcentral is "lncRNA (ENSNMEG00000000322.1)". Lineage: Eukaryota; Metazoa; Chordata; Aves; Galliformes; Numididae. The record is from RNAcentral.
CCCUGGAGUCACCCUGAGGACAGAGGGGGACAGGUGGGGACAAAUGGGGAUGAAUGGGGAUGGAUGGGGACACCCCGAGGACGGAGGGGGACAUUUGGGGACACUUUAAGGACAAACGGGGACGCUUUGGGGACAGCUGGGGACAAAUGGGGGCGGACAGGGUCACCUGGGGAUGAAUGGGGACGGAUGGGGACACCCUGGAGUCACCCUGAGGACAGAGGGGGACACUUUGGGGGCAAACGAGGACCACUGGGGACAAAUGGGGACAGCUGGAGAUGAAUGGGGAUGGAUGGGGACACCCCGAGGAUGGAGGGGGACACUUAGGGGACACUUUAAGGACAAACAGGGACGCUUUGGGGACAGCUGAGGGCAAAUGGGGGCGGACAGGGACAGCUGGGGAUGAAUGGGGACAAAUGGGGACACCCUGGGGACAGCUGGGGACAAAUGGGGACGGACAGGGUCACCUGGGAAUGAAUGGGGACAGAUGGGGACACCCUGGAGUCACGGUGGGGACAAAUGGGGACACUCUGGGGACAAAUGGGGACACCCUGGUGACACCGUGAGAACGGAUGGGGACACGUUGGGGACAGACAGGGACCCCUGGGGACAAACAGGGACAAGCAAGGACACUGUGGGGACAAACGGGGACAAUGUGGGGACAAAUGGGGACAGCCGGUGACACCCCCACAGCCCCCAGCGAGCCACCAGCGCCUGACGUCACCGCGCCGUGGGACACCGCCUACCAAGGUACCACCGCUGCAGGGGGGUGUUGGGUUGGGGUGACACUGCCGGGUGACAAUGGGUGACAAUGCCAGGCUGGGGGUGGGGGUGACACCGCGGGGUGACGCCGCCGGGUGACAUCGCCAGGUGACACCAAUAGGUGACACCAACAGGUGACGAUGCCGGGUGACACCGCCUACCAAGGUACCACCGCUGCAGGGGGGUGUUGGGUUGGGGUGACACUGCCGGGUGACAAUGGGUGACAAUGGGUGACAAUGCCAGGCUGGGGGUGGGGGUGACACCGCGGGGUGACGCCGCCGGGUGACAGUGCCAGGUGACAGUGCCAGGUGACACCAGCAGGUGACGAUGCCGGGUGACACCAGCGGGUGACGCUGGGUGAUAAGUGGGUGACAACACCAGGUGACAGCGCCGGGUGACAACCGGGUGACAUUGUUGGGUAACAGCACAACACCGGGUGACACUGCUGGGUGACAACACUGGGUGACACCUCCGGGUGAUACUGGGUGACAACCGGGUGACAUUGCAGGGUGACACAACCAGGUGACACUGGGUGACAACCGGGUGACGUUGCG